UACCUUGAAUUUCCUGUCAUCUCCUUCAGCAGUCAGCAAGAACCCAGUGGGACCAGUAGCUCGUAAUAAAUAAAUCCUAGCUCUUGCCGCUCGAUCAAUACGAGAUAAAACCUUAUCAGGGCAUGUCCUUCUCCAAGGAACUGAACGAGACAUAUCUUUGUUAUUUACAUUUUGAUAAAAUUCAUUGAAUCUUUAUGAAAAUAUAUGAAAAAUUGAAAACAGCCAAAUUUACACUGCCAAGUGCCAAAGAUAAUUUUCAAAAUGGCGCAUUUUCUCGUUGACAUGGCAACCAUUUUGUAACCUGCGAUCAGGUGAUCAGGCUGACAUUUCAAUGGGUCACAAAAUGUAUAUAGAUUCCGAUCUCUGGAUUCCGA
Molecule: non-coding RNA, 374 nt
Organism: Paramuricea clavata
Lineage: Eukaryota; Metazoa; Cnidaria; Anthozoa; Malacalcyonacea; Plexauridae
Source: the annotation of a GenBank genome assembly